UACGAAGGGGGCUAGCGUUGUUCGGAAUUACUUGGGCGUAAAGGCGCAACGUAGGCGGAUAUUUAAGUCAGGGGUGAAAUCCCAGAGCUCAACUCUGGAACUGCCUUUGAUACUGGGUAGUCUUGAGUAUGGAAGAGGUAAGGUGGAAUUGCGAGUGUUAGAGGUGAAAUUCGUAGAUAUUACGCAGGAACACCAAUUGC
RNAcentral lists this ribosomal RNA (200 nucleotides) under uncultured bacterium. RNAcentral's name for it is "partial 16S ribosomal RNA". It matches the Rfam family "Bacterial small subunit ribosomal RNA", at positions 524 to 716 of the family's 1533-position model. The record is from RNAcentral.